Molecule: ribosomal RNA, 253 nt
Filed under: uncultured bacterium
Lineage: Bacteria
Description: partial 16S ribosomal RNA
Rfam family: Bacterial small subunit ribosomal RNA
Source: RNAcentral
UACGAAGGGGGCAAGCGUUGUUCGGAAUUAUUGGGCGUAAAGGGUGCGUAGGCGGUUUGGUAAGUCUUAUGUGAAAUCUACAGGCUCAACUUGUAGUCUGCAUGAGAAACUGCCGGGCUUGAGUAUGGGAGAGGUGAGUGGAAUUCCUGGUGUAGCGGUGAAAUGCGUAGAUAUCAGGAGGAACACCAGUGGCGAAGGCGACUUACUGGACACAUAUUGACGCUGAGGUGCGAAAGCGUGGGGAGCAAACAGG